GGGUUGUGAGGUUAAGCGACUAAGCGUACACGGUGGAUGCCCUGGCAGUCAGAGGCGAUGAAGGACGUGCUAAUCUGCGAUAAGCGUCGGUAAGGUGAUAUGAACCGUUAUAACCGGCGAUUUCCGAAUGGGGAAACCCAGUGUGAUUCGUCACACUAUCAUUAACUGAAUCCAUAGGUUAAUGAGGCGAACCGGGGGAACUGAAACAUCUAAGUACCCCGAGGAAAAGAAAUCAACCGAGAUUCCCCCAGUAGCGGCGAGCGAACGGGGAGGAGCCCAGAGCCUGAAUCAGUGUGUGUGUUAGUGGAAGCGUCUGGAAAGGCGCGCGAUACAGGGUGACAGCCCCGUACACAAAAAUGCACAUAUUGUGAGCUCGAUGAGUAGGGCGGGACACGUGGUAUCCUGUCUGAAUAUGGGGGGACCAUCCUCCAAGGCUAAAUACUCCUGACUGACCGAUAGUGAACCAGUACCGUGAGGGAAAGGCGAAAAGAACCCCGGCGAGGGGAGUGAAAAAGAACCUGAAACCGUGUACGUACAAGCAGUGGGAGCACGCUUAGGCGUGUGACUGCGUACCUUUUGUAUAAUGGGUCAGCGACUUAUAUUCUGUAGCAAGGUUAACCGAAUAGGGGAGCCGAAGGGAAACCGAGUCUUAACUGGGCGUUAAGUUGCAGGGUAUAGACCCGAAACCCGGUGAUCUAGCCAUGGGCAGGUUGAAGGUUGGGUAACACUAACUGGAGGACCGAACCGACUAAUGUUGAAAAAUUAGCGGAUGACUUGUGGCUGGGGGUGAAAGGCCAAUCAAACCGGGAGAUAGCUGGUUCUCCCCGAAAGCUAUUUAGGUAGCGCCUCGUGAAUUCAUCUCCGGGGGUAGAGCACUGUUUCGGCAAGGGGGUCAUCCCGACUUACCAACCCGAUGCAAACUGCGAAUACCGGAGAAUGUUAUCACGGGAGACACACGGCGGGUGCUAACGUCCGUCGUGAAGAGGGAAACAACCCAGACCGCCAGCUAAGGUCCCAAAGUCAUGGUUAAGUGGGAAACGAUGUGGGAAGGCCCAGACAGCCAGGAUGUUGGCUUAGAAGCAGCCAUCAUUUAAAGAAAGCGUAAUAGCUCACUGGUCGAGUCGGCCUGCGCGGAAGAUGUAACGGGGCUAAACCAUGCACCGAAGCUGCGGCAGCGACGCUGAUGCGUUGUUGGGUAGGGGAGCGUUCUGUAAGCCUGCGAAGGUGUGCUGUGAGGCAUGCUGGAGGUAUCAGAAGUGCGAAUGCUGACAUAAGUAACGAUAAAGCGGGUGAAAAGCCCGCUCGCCGGAAGACCAAGGGUUCCUGUCCAACGUUAAUCGGGGCAGGGUGAGUCGACCCCUAAGGCGAGGCCGAAAGGCGUAGUCGAUGGGAAACAGGUUAAUAUUCCUGUACUUGGUGUUACUGCGAAGGGGGGACGGAGAAGGCUAUGUUGGCCGGGCGACGGUUGUCCCGGUUUAAGCGUGUAGGCUGGUUUUCCAGGCAAAUCCGGAAAAUCAAGGCUGAGGCGUGAUGACGAGGCACUACGGUGCUGAAGCAACAAAUGCCCUGCUUCCAGGAAAAGCCUCUAAGCAUCAGGUAACAUCAAAUCGUACCCCAAACCGACACAGGUGGUCAGGUAGAGAAUACCAAGGCGCUUGAGAGAACUCGGGUGAAGGAACUAGGCAAAAUGGUGCCGUAACUUCGGGAGAAGGCACGCUGAUAUGUAGGUGAAGUCCCUUGCGGAUGGAGCUGAAAUCAGUCGAAGAUACCAGCUGGCUGCAACUGUUUAUUAAAAACACAGCACUGUGCAAACACGAAAGUGGACGUAUACGGUGUGACGCCUGCCCGGUGCCGGAAGGUUAAUUGAUGGGGUCAGCGCAAGCGAAGCUCUUGAUCGAAGCCCCGGUAAACGGCGGCCGUAACUAUAACGGUCCUAAGGUAGCGAAAUUCCUUGUCGGGUAAGUUCCGACCUGCACGAAUGGCGUAAUGAUGGCCAGGCUGUCUCCACCCGAGACUCAGUGAAAUUGAACUCGCUGUGAAGAUGCAGUGUACCCGCGGCAAGACGGAAAGACCCCGUGAACCUUUACUAUAGCUUGACACUGAACAUUGAGCCUUGAUGUGUAGGAUAGGUGGGAGGCUUUGAAGUGUGGACGCCAGUCUGCAUGGAGCCGACCUUGAAAUACCACCCUUUAAUGUUUGAUGUUCUAACGUUGACCCCUAAUCGGGGUUGCGGACAGUGUCUGGUGGGUAGUUUGACUGGGGCGGUCUCCUCCUAAAGAGUAACGGAGGAGCACGAAGGUUGGCUAAUCCUGGUCGGACAUCAGGAGGUUAGUGCAAUGGCAUAAGCCAGCUUGACUGCGAGCGUGACGGCGCGAGCAGGUGCGAAAGCAGGUCAUAGUGAUCCGGUGGUUCUGAAUGGAAGGGCCAUCGCUCAACGGAUAAAAGGUACUCCGGGGAUAACAGGCUGAUACCGCCCAAGAGUUCAUAUCGACGGCGGUGUUUGGCACCUCGAUGUCGGCUCAUCACAUCCUGGGGCUGAAGUAGGUCCCAAGGGUAUGGCUGUUCGCCAUUUAAAGUGGUACGCGAGCUGGGUUUAGAACGUCGUGAGACAGUUCGGUCCCUAUCUGCCGUGGGCGCUGGAGAACUGAGGGGGGCUGCUCCUAGUACGAGAGGACCGGAGUGGACGCAUCACUGGUGUUCGGGUUGUCAUGCCAAUGGCACUGCCCGGUAGCUAAAUGCGGAAGAGAUAAGUGCUGAAAGCAUCUAAGCACGAAACUUGCCCCGAGAUGAGUUCUCCCUGACUCCUUGAGAGUCCUGAAGGAACGUUGAAGACGACGACGUUGAUAGGCCGGGUGUGUAAGCGCAGCGAUGCGUUGAGCUAACCGGUACUAAUGAACCGUGAGGCUUAACCUUACAACGCCGAAGCUGUU
RNAcentral lists this ribosomal RNA (2930 nucleotides) under Escherichia coli. RNAcentral describes it as "23S ribosomal RNA". It matches the Rfam family "Bacterial large subunit ribosomal RNA". Lineage: Bacteria; Pseudomonadati; Pseudomonadota; Gammaproteobacteria; Enterobacterales; Enterobacteriaceae. The record is from RNAcentral.